RNAcentral lists this ribosomal RNA (515 nucleotides) under uncultured bacterium. Its description in RNAcentral is "partial 16S ribosomal RNA". It matches the Rfam family "Bacterial small subunit ribosomal RNA", at positions 28 to 523 of the family's 1533-position model. The record is from RNAcentral.
GAUGAACGCUGGCGGCGUGCCUAAUACAUGCAAGUCGAGCGAAUGGAUUAAGAGCUUGCUCUUAUGAAGUUAGCGGCGGACGGGUGAGUAACACGUGGGUAACCUGCCCAUAAGACUGGGAUAACUCCGGGAAACCGGGGCUAAUACCGGAUAACAUUUUGAACCGCAUGGUUCGAAAUUGAAAGGCGGCUUCGGCUGUCACUUAUGGAUGGACCCGGGUCGCAUUAGCUAGUUGGUGAGGUAACGGCUAACCAAGGCAACGAUGCGUAGCCGACCUGAGAGGGUGAUCGGCCACACUGGGACUGAGACACGGCCCAGACUCCUACGGGAGGCAGCAGUAGGGAAUCUUCCGCAAUGGACGAAAGUCUGACGGAGCAACGCCGCGUGAGUGAUGAAGGCUUUCGGGUCGUAAAACUCUGUUGUUAGGGAGGAACAAGUGCUAGUUGAAUAAGCUGACACCUUGACGGUACCUAACCAGAAAGCCACGGCUAACUACGUGCCAGCCGCCGCCGUAA